GGGUGUUUGGCCGAGCGGUCUAAGGCGCUACGUUCAGGUCGUAGCCUCGUAAGAGGCGUGAAUUCGAACCUCACAGCACCCA
This 82-nucleotide transfer RNA is filed under the name Blyttiomyces helicus. RNAcentral describes it as "tRNA-Leu". It matches the Rfam family "tRNA". From Rfam's summary of the family: Transfer RNA (tRNA) molecules are approximately 80 nucleotides in length. Their secondary structure includes four short double-helical elements and three loops (D, anti-codon, and T loops). Further hydrogen bonds mediate the characteristic L-shaped molecular structure. tRNAs have two regions of fundamental functional importance: the anti-codon, which is responsible for specific mRNA codon recognition, and the 3' end, to which the tRNAs corresponding amino acid is attached (by aminoacyl-tRNA synthetases). tRNAs cope with the degeneracy of the genetic code in two manners: having more than one tRNA (with a specific anti-codon) for a particular amino acid; and 'wobble' base-pairing, i.e. permitting non-standard base-pairing at the 3rd anti-codon position. The record is from RNAcentral. Lineage: Eukaryota; Fungi; Chytridiomycota; Chytridiomycetes.